RNAcentral lists this microRNA precursor (140 nucleotides) under Oryza sativa (Asian cultivated rice). RNAcentral's name for it is "miR5816 stem-loop (osa-MIR5816)". The record is from miRBase by way of RNAcentral. Lineage: Eukaryota; Viridiplantae; Streptophyta; Magnoliopsida; Poales; Poaceae.
UCUAGGAGUGUUUGUAGGAGCGCCACGUGAAAAUGUAGGAGCGUAUAUAGGAAGUUUAAUAGACUUUUAGUAUAUAAUAGAUUUCUAGGAUUUCUCUAAUUUAUUUGAGAGUCACGUAGCGUUGUAAAAGCAUUUGUAGA